RNAcentral lists this ribosomal RNA (262 nucleotides) under uncultured bacterium. RNAcentral describes it as "partial 16S ribosomal RNA". It matches the Rfam family "Bacterial small subunit ribosomal RNA", at positions 547 to 796 of the family's 1533-position model. The record is from RNAcentral.
AGGCAGCAGUUAGGAAUUACUGGACGUAAAGCGCACGUAGGCGGCUUUGUAAGUUAGAGGUGAAAGCCUGGAGCUCAACUCCAGAACUGCCUUUAAGACUGCAUCGCUUGAAUCCAGGAGAGGUGAGUGGAAUUCCGAGUGUAGAGGUGAAAUUCGUAGAUAUUCGGAAGAACACCAGUGGCGAAGGCGGCUCACUGGACUGGUAUUGACGCUGAGGUGCGAAAGCGUGGGGAUCAAACAGGAUUAGAUACCCGAGUAGUCC